GCCUAGUUAGCUUAGUUGGUAAUGCGUCUGCCUUGUGAGCGCUAGGCCGCGGGUUCGAUUCCCGCCCGGGGCG
RNAcentral lists this transfer RNA (73 nucleotides) under Diaphorina citri (Asian citrus psyllid). It matches the Rfam family "tRNA". From Rfam's summary of the family: Transfer RNA (tRNA) molecules are approximately 80 nucleotides in length. Their secondary structure includes four short double-helical elements and three loops (D, anti-codon, and T loops). Lineage: Eukaryota; Metazoa; Arthropoda; Insecta; Hemiptera; Psyllidae. The record is from Rfam by way of RNAcentral.